UACGUAGGUGGCAAGCGUUGUCCGGAAUUAUUGGGCGUAAAGCGCGCGCAGGUGGUUCCUUAAGUCUGAUGUGAAAGCCCACGGCUCAACCGUGGAGGGUCAUUGGAAACUGGGGAACUUGAGUGCAGAAGAGGAAAGUGGAAUUCCAAGUGUAGCGGUGAAAUGCGUAGAGAUUUGGAGGAACACCAGUGGCGAAGGCGGCUCGCUGGACAGUGACUGACACUCAACUACGAAAGCGUGGGGAGCAAACAGG
Molecule: ribosomal RNA, 253 nt
Filed under: uncultured bacterium
Lineage: Bacteria
Description: partial 16S ribosomal RNA
Rfam family: Bacterial small subunit ribosomal RNA
Source: RNAcentral